RNAcentral lists this ribosomal RNA (320 nucleotides) under Serratia marcescens. Its description in RNAcentral is "bacterial SSU rRNA". It matches the Rfam family "Bacterial small subunit ribosomal RNA", at positions 845 to 1165 of the family's 1533-position model. The record is from RNAcentral. Lineage: Bacteria; Pseudomonadati; Pseudomonadota; Gammaproteobacteria; Enterobacterales; Yersiniaceae.
UCCGGAGCUAACGCGUUAAAUCGACCGCCUGGGGAGUACGGCCGCAAGGUUAAAACUCAAAUGAAUUGACGGGGGCCCGCACAAGCGGUGGAGCAUGUGGUUUAAUUCGAUGCAACGCGAAGAACCUUACCUACUCUUGACAUCCAGAGAACUUAGCAGAGAUGCUUUGGUGCCUUCGGGAACUCUGAGACAGGUGCUGCAUGGCUGUCGUCAGCUCGUGUUGUGAAAUGUUGGGUUAAGUCCCGCAACGAGCGCAACCCUUAUCCUUUGUUGCCAGCGGUUCGGCCGGGAACUCAAAGGAGACUGCCAGUGAUAAACUG